This 2929-nucleotide ribosomal RNA is filed under the name Salmonella enterica subsp. enterica serovar Cubana str. CFSAN002050. RNAcentral describes it as "bacterial LSU rRNA". It matches the Rfam family "Bacterial large subunit ribosomal RNA". Lineage: Bacteria; Pseudomonadati; Pseudomonadota; Gammaproteobacteria; Enterobacterales; Enterobacteriaceae. The record is from RNAcentral.
GGGUUGUGAGGUUAAGCGACUAAGCGUACACGGUGGAUGCCCUGGCAGUCAGAGGCGAUGAAGGGCGUGCUAAUCUGCGAUAAGCGCCGGUAAGGUGAUAUGAACCGUUAUAACCGGCGAUACCCGAAUGGGGAAACCCAGUGUGACUCGUCACACUAUCAUUAACUGAAUCCAUAGGUUAAUGAGGCGAACCGGGGGAACUGAAACAUCUAAGUACCCCGAGGAAAAGAAAUCAACCGAGAUUCCCCCAGUAGCGGCGAGCGAACGGGGAGGAGCCCAGAGCCUGAAUCAGCAUGUGUGUUAGUGGAAGCGUCUGGAAAGGCGCGCGAUACAGGGUGACAGCCCCGUACACAAAAGCGCAUGUGCUGUGAGCUCGAUGAGUAGGGCGGGACACGUGGUAUCCUGUCUGAAUAUGGGGGGACCAUCCUCCAAGGCUAAAUACUCCUGACUGACCGAUAGUGAACCAGUACCGUGAGGGAAAGGCGAAAAGAACCCCGGCGAGGGGAGUGAAAAAGAACCUGAAACCGUGUACGUACAAGCAGUGGGAGCACAGGUUUACCUGUGUGACUGCGUACCUUUUGUAUAAUGGGUCAGCGACUUAUAUUCUGUAGCAAGGUUAACCGCAUAGGGGAGCCGGAGGGAAACCGAGUCUUAAUUGGGCGUUAAGUUGCAGGGUAUAGACCCGAAACCCGGUGAUCUAGCCAUGGGCAGGUUGAAGGUUGGGUAACACUAACUGGAGGACCGAACCGACUAAUGUUGAAAAAUUAGCGGAUGACCUGUGGCUGGGGGUGAAAGGCCAAUCAAACCGGGAGAUAGCUGGUUCUCCCCGAAAGCUAUUUAGGUAGCGCCUCGUGAAUUCAUCUCCGGGGGUAGAGCACUGUUUCGGCUAGGGGGCCAUCCCGGCUUACCAACCCGAUGCAAACUGCGAAUACCGGAGAAUGUUAUCACGGGAGACACACGGCGGGUGCUAACGUCCGUCGUGAAGAGGGAAACAACCCAGACCGCCAGCUAAGGUCCCAAAGUCAUGGUUAAGUGGGAAACGAUGUGGGAAGGCCCAGACAGCCAGGAUGUUGGCUUAGAAGCAGCCAUCAUUUAAAGAAAGCGUAAUAGCUCACUGGUCGAGUCGGCCUGCGCGGAAGAUGUAACGGGGCUAAACCAUGCACCGAAGCUGCGGCAGCGACGCUGAUGCGUUGUUGGGUAGGGGAGCGUUCUGUAAGCCUGUGAAGGUGGCCUGUGAGGGUUGCUGGAGGUAUCAGAAGUGCGAAUGCUGACAUAAGUAACGAUAAAGCGGGUGAAAAGCCCGCUCGCCGGAAGACCAAGGGUUCCUGUCCAACGUUAAUCGGGGCAGGGUGAGUCGACCCCUAAGGCGAGGCCGAAAGGCGUAGUCGAUGGGAAACGGGUUAAUAUUCCCGUACUUGGUGUUACUGCGAAGGGGGGACGGAGAAGGCUAUGUUGGCCGGGCGACGGUUGUCCCGGUUUAAGCGUGUAGGUGUGUGUUCCAGGUAAAUCCGGUUCACUUUAACACUGAGGCGUGAUGACGAGGCACUACGGUGCUGAAGCAACAAAUGCCCUGCUUCCAGGAAAAGCCUCUAAGCAUCAGGUAACAUCAAAUCGUACCCCAAACCGACACAGGUGGUCAGGUAGAGAAUACCAAGGCGCUUGAGAGAACUCGGGUGAAGGAACUAGGCAAAAUGGUGCCGUAACUUCGGGAGAAGGCACGCUGACACGUAGGUGAAGUGAUUUACUCAUGGAGCUGAAGUCAGUCGAAGAUACCAGCUGGCUGCAACUGUUUAUUAAAAACACAGCACUGUGCAAACACGAAAGUGGACGUAUACGGUGUGACGCCUGCCCGGUGCCGGAAGGUUAAUUGAUGGGGUCAGCGCAAGCGAAGCUCCUGAUCGAAGCCCCGGUAAACGGCGGCCGUAACUAUAACGGUCCUAAGGUAGCGAAAUUCCUUGUCGGGUAAGUUCCGACCUGCACGAAUGGCGUAAUGAUGGCCAGGCUGUCUCCACCCGAGACUCAGUGAAAUUGAACUCGCUGUGAAGAUGCAGUGUACCCGCGGCAAGACGGAAAGACCCCGUGAACCUUUACUAUAGCUUGACACUGAACAUUGAGCCUUGAUGUGUAGGAUAGGUGGGAGGCUUUGAAGUGUGGACGCCAGUCUGCAUGGAGCCGACCUUGAAAUACCACCCUUUAAUGUUUGAUGUUCUAACGUGGACCCGUUACCCGGGUUGCGGACAGUGUCUGGUGGGUAGUUUGACUGGGGCGGUCUCCUCCUAAAGAGUAACGGAGGAGCACGAAGGUUGGCUAAUCCUGGUCGGACAUCAGGAGGUUAGUGCAAUGGCAUAAGCCAGCUUGACUGCGAGCGUGACGGCGCGAGCAGGUGCGAAAGCAGGUCAUAGUGAUCCGGUGGUUCUGAAUGGAAGGGCCAUCGCUCAACGGAUAAAAGGUACUCCGGGGAUAACAGGCUGAUACCGCCCAAGAGUUCAUAUCGACGGCGGUGUUUGGCACCUCGAUGUCGGCUCAUCACAUCCUGGGGCUGAAGUAGGUCCCAAGGGUAUGGCUGUUCGCCAUUUAAAGUGGUACGCGAGCUGGGUUUAGAACGUCGUGAGACAGUUCGGUCCCUAUCUGCCGUGGGCGCUGGAGAACUGAGGGGGGCUGCUCCUAGUACGAGAGGACCGGAGUGGACGCAUCACUGGUGUUCGGGUUGUCAUGCCAAUGGCACUGCCCGGUAGCUAAAUGCGGAAGAGAUAAGUGCUGAAAGCAUCUAAGCACGAAACUUGCCCCGAGAUGAGUUCUCCCUGAGACUUAGAGUCUCCUGAAGGAACGUUGAAGACGACGACGUUGAUAGGCCGGGUGUGUAAGCGCAGCGAUGCGUUGAGCUAACCGGUACUAAUGAACCGUGAGGCUUAACCUUACAACGCCGAAG